This is a small nuclear RNA of Amaranthus tricolor (Joseph's coat), 162 nucleotides long. RefSeq annotates it as U1 spliceosomal RNA. The record is from RefSeq and is a predicted model, not a curated record. Lineage: Eukaryota; Viridiplantae; Streptophyta; Magnoliopsida; Caryophyllales; Amaranthaceae. The transcript has a single exon.
UCACUUACAUAGAUGGUGUCUAUGAGUAAUUGUGUAGGCUCAUAGCCUAAGCUAUUGACCUCCAUUGCAUAUUGCGGAAGGCUGCUACCUAAGAUAUCCCCAAGAGGGAAAGUCUACGUCAUAAUUUGUAAUAGCGGGGGCCUGCAUUCGCGCAAACCCUGU